UACGGGGGGGGCAAGCGUUGUUCGGAAUUACUGGGCGUAAAGGGCUCGUAGGCGGCCAACUAAGUCAGACGUGAAAUCCCUCGGCUUAACCGGGGAACUGCGUCUGAUACUGGAUGGCUUGAAUCCGGGAGAGGGAUGCGGAAUUCCAGGUGUAGCGGUGAAAUGCGUAGAUAUUGGGAGGAACACCAGUGGCGAAGGCGGCUACCUGGACCGGUUCUGACGCUGAGGCGCGAAAGCGUGGGUAGCAAACAGG
Molecule: ribosomal RNA, 253 nt
Filed under: uncultured bacterium
Lineage: Bacteria
Description: partial 16S ribosomal RNA
Rfam family: Bacterial small subunit ribosomal RNA
Source: RNAcentral